GAUGAACGCUGGCGGCGUGCCUAAUACAUGCAAGUCGAGCGAACAGACGAGGAGCUUGCUCCUUUGACGUUAGCGGCGGACGGGUGAGUAACACGUAGGUAACCUACCUAUAAGACUGGGAUAACUUCGGGAAACCGGAGCUAAUACCGGAUAAUACUUCGAACCGCAUGGUUCGAUAGUGAAAGAUGGCUUUGCUAUCACUUAUAGAUGGACCUGCGCCGUAUUAGCUAGUUGGUAAGGUAACGGCUUACCAAGGCAACGAUACGUAGCCGACCUGAGAGGGUGAUCGGCCACACUGGAACUGAGACACGGUCCAGACUCCUACGGGAGGCAGCAGUAGGGAAUCUUCCGCAAUGGGCGAAAGCCUGACGGAGCAACGCCGCGUGAGUGAUGAAGGUCUUCGGAUCGUAAAACUCUGUUAUUAGGGAAGAACAAACGUGUAAGUAACUGUGCACGUCUUGACGGUACCUAAUCAGAAAGCCACGGCUAACUACGUG
RNAcentral lists this ribosomal RNA (497 nucleotides) under uncultured bacterium. RNAcentral's name for it is "partial 16S ribosomal RNA". It matches the Rfam family "Bacterial small subunit ribosomal RNA", at positions 28 to 507 of the family's 1533-position model. The record is from RNAcentral.